GGGCAAAAUCUUCCUCUCUAGAAAAUGGAUAUUUUUAGGGUUUUGAGCUCAAAACCCUAAAAAUGGAGGAGCAACCGCGGGGAAGAAGGGUGGGUCUGGCUGUAUUUAUAGCCCAGACUUAACCAAGUGUUGGGUAUUUUAAACGCAAACAGAAAAAUCCACAAGCGCACGGAUACCGAUGUAACUUUCACCUAGGGAGUAUUCCAGAGUAUCGAUUUUCCACAGGGAACGUGAGUGUACUAAUUAAGAAUCAAGAUCGCCCAAGGAUAACUAUAUAAUUAUUUUUGGUGGGAAGAAAGAAAGUUUCCUGAGAGUUCUCUAGUUGAUCUAAGAGUCAAGAAUUACUUCAAGAUUAUCUAUUUCGGGACAUCAGAACACUAACCACAGAAAGAGAUGAGAAGGGGGCUAGGAAGCUCCGACUACGGUCCUACAGACACUGAUCCGAACGAGGUGGAAUACGUCGACCGUUAGGGCUGUCACUACCCUAAGGCUACCACAACAAUCCGCAGGAUUGGGUGCAAUUCCAGGUAAUCGCAAGACUAAACACCACGUCUAAUCUAUUAAUUACUACUCGAGCGUUAUAAAGACUAGAGCACUUGAUGCAAGCGGGAAUCCAAUAAAUAACUUGAAUGUAAAUAAAAGUAAUUAAAGAACUCAGGAAUUAUGAAUUGAAGAACCUGGAGAACGAUGAAGAACGAACCAGUUGCUGCAAAAGUACAAUGUUGAGGAAGAUCCGACAGAUCCGGCUCCUCCUCCGCUCUCCUCUUCUCUCUCCCUAUUUUCUAGAUUACAACUAGAACUAACUAGAACUAGAACUAGAGGAACUAGAACUAGAACUAGAUGAACUAGAACUAGAUCUAGAUGAACUAGAGGUAGAACUAGAAGAACUAGAGGGAUCCUCUCUACUUGGAAGAAGAAUUGAAACCCUAGCUUUGAUUCUGUAGAAGAGGUAUGAUCUCCAGGGGCCAGGGGGUCUUGUUUUAUAGUCCCUUCAAGUGAAUCUGGGCCGUUGGAUCAAACCGACAUUGAUUGAACGGUUAUCCUUGAUCCUUUAGGUCGGUGGAGCAAUAUCCCUAAAGAGAGUCCUGAUUGGACUCUGGUUGAGGGCGGGCGCCCAGGAAAGGAGGGCGGGCGCCCUGUCCCUGAGUCCUCUCGGCCUCCGCUUCCUUCCCGUGGCUUCUGGAGUCUUCUAGAUGACACAAAAUUGCGCGGCAUGUUAAUAUCUCUACAAAAUUGCGCGGCAUGUUAAUAUCUCUAUGUAAACCUGACGUGUGAGCCUUUCUUCCGUAUUUCCUGAUAACCCCCUGCAGAAAUAGACAAACACCAAAACUCGUGGAAUUCUGUCAGAUAAAACCCUAAGUCUAGGUGUUGGUUGCAUAUAAGUCCUUUUCCAUGAUUAGUUGAUAGUUAAAAGUGAACAUUAAGGGCCGUCAACAAGCUCCCCCAAGCUUAACAUUUGCUCAUCCCUGAGCAAAGAAGGACUCAAGAGUAUCUGCAGUGGUUUUAUGCCUUAAAGGUACAUAUGCAUUCAAACAAGAUCUCAUCUUUGGGUUAGGGUAAAUUGUUAAGAUUUAAACUUACUCAUAUUACCUUCCACCAUGGGGCUUGCAACCGUCACUUGUGUCUUGAGCAGUUAAAAGAUAGAACGGUCUAGUGAAACACCAUGUUUCUUGUUCUUCGAUUGCCUAUAGCUCUAGAGUUUUUGCAGAUUUUCAAAUAAAACUCAGAGAUUCCUUGUAUGACUCUCUCUAGUCUCUCUUUUGUGGUAUUUCUGGAUCCUUACUAAGGCAGUAAUGGUGUAUGCCUUCUCUCAAAGUAUGUGGUAUUUUUGGUAUGAGGCAUAGUGGCAUUGCCUUCUCUCUCACCCUACUCUAAUAAGGCUUUUGAUAUCUGGAGCUCAUAGGUGGGAGACAGCUAAUACAUACUUACAAGACAUUUAUUGCAUAGUCAAACCAUGGAUCCAGAAGAACAAGUCAAUAAGUCAAAUCAAGAUGUGCAUGUGUGGCGAAUGAAUGGUGUAUGGUGAUGAUGGUGAUAACAAUGGUGAACGUCUAAUUCUAUUUGUGCUCUUUUGAGGGGAUACAUACCUUUCUUGCUCUUUUGAAACUUUUUGAGGAGAAUAAGAUGCUCUAUAUUUUCUUUUUCUUUUCUCUCAGGUGGGUAUCUUGUACCCCUAAUUCUACUGUCGGACACUUGUCCAUUUUUACCUUUCGUCUCACUUUUUUUCUUUUCUUUCGAGGUUUCGGGCACUUGCCCCUUUUUAUUUCCUCGUAUCUUUUUCUUUUUUUUUUCUCUUUUUUUAGAGCACUCAUCUCCUGAAAUAAUAUAGCAAGUGGUAGUAACCAAGAUAACUUGUGCAUUUAUUUCACAGGGGAAAACUGAAAUGUUUUUGGCUAUUCUCUCCCGGAUUAGGAGUAGAAUAUUUUUAAGUGAUUUUGGAGAUGGAAAUGGGUAGAUAUAUGUGGAUGCGUACUUUCCGGAGUAGAAGCAGCAUGUGUGAGUGAACGUGCAAGUGAAUCUUGACUUAACCACAUGACAAGCUCCUAAGGGUCUACACAGCUUGACCACACUCAAUGCUCAUAAGCAGUAAAGUAAAUGUGUGGCUCAAAGUUUAGCAAGCAUGUAUAUAUGGCUGUGGUAGGAAUUUAAACUCUCAUCAUACAAGAACUCAUCAUGCAAUAUUUUAAAGAUUUUCAAAAAUAAAAUUCUCCAGAAUUCUAGCAUCUCUAGGAACAGAUAAACAGCAGCUUAACCUUCCCAUAUCGUAUCCGUUAACGACUUAGACUUUAGAUCAAGUACUCUCCCCACAAGUAGCAAAUAUUAAUUAAUAACAGUCAUGCCUAAACUUGAGCGAGAUUUCAAUUUUGAGAACUAAUCACGGCAGAGCAACUAUUCAUCAUUUCCAUGUGAGAGCUUGUCAUGAGGGUUCAUAGCAAACUUUAUUUAUUUAUUUAUUUAGCAAACUAAGCAAAGAUAUAUAUAUAUAUAUAUAUAUAUAAAAGCACAAAAUCUUUAUUUGGGUUUUUAUGAUUAUGCAUCUUUUUAUUAUUUGAGUAAAAUAUAAACGCGAGUAGAAACACUUAGCUGGAUAAAUGGGAGUGCUCUCCCCCAAGCUGGAUUUUGACGUAAAUCCUUGUGAUGUAGCUAGCAGGUGGCGGAGGUGUAUUUGAAUGUCGGCAGCACCCUGACAGCGAUUAGGAUGUCCUCUGUCUACUAGUCUUCUUUGAUCCUUGAAUUCUAUGGAGCUCAAAUAGACAACAAAGCUUUGUGGAACUAGUUAAGUGUUAGCAUAAAUAUCUAACCUUUAUCAUGUUGAGCCUCCUAAAUAAAUGUUACUCUCUUAGUAGGAUCAUUAAUUUUUAUAUAUAUUUUUUUCAAGAUGAUAUGAACCUGAUUAACUAAACAAACUAUUUUAAACAAUUGAAAGGAAAAGGAUAACUACCAAGUUUACCUCUUGGCAAGGCGUUCGGUGUUUUUAAGUCCUCCGAACGGGACUCUCCAUUUUCUCAGUCGUCCUGGGAUUCGCUGGAUGGCGUAGUCGGUGGUUCCGGCGGCGCCUGCUCUUUGUUUCUAACUAUCUUCUCUUUCCACACCUAACUCAGUGCACUUUUCGUAGUCCGCCCAUCCGUCCUUGAUGAUUUUCCUCCUCUGGUUGCAGUUGCGUCGUCUUCUUCUUGUCCUGACCUGCUUGGAGUCUUCAACUAUAUAAUUAGGGUUAGUAAAAUAGCGGCGUACCUUCUUAGAGGGGAAGUGCAUGUGGACUUCUCCGGUUCCAAUGUAGAUGAUUGCUUUAACGGUACUGAGGAACGGUCUUCCAAGGAUGACGGGUUUAUCGAAUUCGUCUUCUCCCAUAUCAAUAACCUUCAACCUUUCGGAAUGUCUGAUCUGCCAUCUGGAGCUGAAUGUAUGUCGGUUUUAGGGGUAUGGUUCCGAACAGGAGCUGAUAGAUGACUGAGUCGUCCUUUUUGGUAAGGAACGGUGACUUAAAUCGACGAUCUUGACCUCCUUGAACUGCAGUGACCAUCUUAGCUUACUCGGUCUACAUUUGCUUGUUCCUGUUCCUCCUGUUGGUCCUUUCCUUGGUUCAUGUCUGGAUUGCUCUGAGAUUUGUGUAGUCUUGUUCUUGAAGGAAAAUGUCUCCUACCUCCCCUUGAUGUAGAAACUGAUCUUAGCAUCACUAGCGUGGAUGACCGCUCCCGAGGUGUUCAGGAAUGGCCUCCCCUAGGUAUAAUGUUGACGCUGGAGCCAAAGUCGCAGAGAGCUUCUGGGAAGUCCACCAAGCCGAUGGAGAUCGGGAUGACGGGGCGUCCAAGAUUGCCUCUCUGAGUAGUUAGGCCUCCGUUGAUUCCAACCUUGGUUUUGUUGAGGACGGUUGUAGUAGUAGUAGUGGUUGUUGUUGAUGUAGUUUACGUCCUCAAGCAUCUCAGGGCAGUGAUUGCCUGAGUGUCCAGUAUCUCCAGUGUGUGUACUCGUUGAUCUAGAUUCUUCACUUGGUGGAGUCUGGGAGUGGUAAAACUCCUUCAUAUUUUGCUCGAAGUGUACCUGCUCAUAAAGACAAGGCAGAGAUCAAGUGCAUGGGCCCUGUUGGUGGAAAACACCAAUAGAACCAAAAGUGUAUUUGUUCUUCUUUAACCUUAAGCAUAGUGAGCAAGACAAAGUUGAUGGAUAAUAAGAUCAUGAGUGUAAUUUUUAAAACAUUCGUUAGAUCAGAUCACUCAACCUAAUGGAAAGAUAAUCUAUCUAUACUUAUGUUUUUUUAUAUAUAUCUUCCAAAGAUUGAGUGUGCAACAUUUUAGUUCAUAUGAUUAGGAGUGUGGGAUCCCAAAGGUGGAAGGACUAAACAUAUUGAAUCGAUUGGGUUAAUUUAGAGUUGUAAAUCAUACAUGUUUGUCUCUUUUAUUCAUGUGAAUGCCAGAACCAAAGAGAAGCUUAUAGAAGUGACAGCCAAGUACCUUAAGAUGUUACCUUAAUUGAAGAGUGAUGGUAUAGUAUCACCUAGUGGAAGCUUUCCUUUCUUAGCGGUUGUGCAAUGUGUUUGUGGCACCCUCCAUGGAUCAUCUCUUAUGAGCUAUGUCUUCCUUGUGUAAAUUGUUAAACUUCAUGUGUCUCUCUCUUUGUCUCCAAUGUGGGUUUAUCUCAGGACUUCCCAGGUGGAUAUUGAAAGUUUUCCUGCAGGGGUUAGUCCAACAAAAUAUCCAAUAUCUACUAUAGCAUACUAUCGGCUCAAAGAUCAACCUAGACACCAUGUCUAAUUUGAUUCAGGAGGGCAUUUUAACCUAAGCACCAUGCUUAAUUUAAAACCCCUUGGAAGUAAGAUCAUCAUUCCUAAACUAAGCACCUAGCUUAAUUAAGAGAUAAAUGAAACUAGUCCAAACCUAGGCAUAUACUAAAGCAAAUAAAGGUAGCAUGAGAGCAUUUAUAGAGAUCUACUCAAGUGGAGAUGAAGUAGUGUGAUUAGUAUUUAACAAAUUGAGCAUGUCUCAAAGGUAGGGACAACCAACAUAGCAACAUAGCAAAGGAUGUUUUUAUGUAAAGUACUCCCCCAAGCUUGAAUUUUGCAAAAUUCAAGUUUGGAUGAAUUUAAUUCAAUCUUGUAUGAUGAUUGGUUGGACAUACCUUGUGCUUGUCAUUCAUCCGAUCUUCUUGCUCCAAUCCUGGAAAGGUUAGUGCCAAGAAUACCCGAAGGGAUAUUUUUUCAAUUGUCCUUAUAUGCUCAACACACAAGGUAAUGUUGCAAAUAAUUAAAAGCUCAUGUUAUGAUCUGAGCAGUGCUUGUUUUAGGACACUAAGCUUGUCCUUGGGAAACCAUCAAUUUAUGUCUGCGAAGUGGUUUCCCCUCCAACGCUGACCUAUAUCAAGAUCAACUCAACGAGAUCUGCAAUAUUUAAUAUAGACAUAUGCAUCGACAACCGCCCUUUUAAAGUUUUUAUGAAUAGAAAGGAAGAGGGGGUUGGAGAUCUCGAAUGUGGUGAUGUUGGAGAGACCAAUGGAUUGUGAAUAUGUUGCAUAUGAGCAUGGAGUAAAUGAAGUGGCUAUGAAAUAAAUUCCAUACUCAUUAAUGCUUAGAGUGAAAUCCAUGUGGUGUGGUGAAAAUGGUAAGAUGAGUGUGGUAAAAAAGGAAAAGAAAAAGGAUACACGGACGACUUGGUUCGAAACUAGCACAGCUACCGUUCCCCGGCAACGGCGCCAGAAAGCUUGUUGGGUAUUUUAAACGCAAACAGAAAAAUCCGCAAGCGCACGGAUACCAAUGUAGCUUUCACCCGGGAGUAUUCCAGAGUAUCGAUUUUUCCACAGGGAACGUGAGUGUACUAAUUAAGAAUCAAGAUCGCCCAAGGAUAACUAUAUAAUUAUUUUUGGUGGGAAAAGAGAAAGUUUCCUGAGAGUUCUCUAGUUGAUCUAAGAGUCAAGAAUUACUUCAGGAUUAUCUAUUUCGGGACAUCAGAACACUAACCACAGAAAGAGAUGAGAAGGGGGCUAGGAAGCUCCGACUACGGUCCUACAGACACCGAUCCGAACGAGGUGGAAUACGUCGACCGUUAGGGCUGUCACUACACUAAGGCUACCACAACAAUCCGCAUGAUUGGGUGCAAUUUCAGGUAAUCAGAAGACUAAACACCACGUCUAAUCUAUUAAUUACUACUCUAGCGUUAUAAAGACUAGAGCACUUGAUGCAAGCGGGAAUCCAAUAAAUAACUUGAAUGUAAAUAAAAUUAAUUAAAGAACUCAGGAAUUAUGAAUUGAAGAACCUGGAGAACGAUGAAGAACGAACCAGUUGCUGCAAAAGUACAAUGUUGAGGAAGAUCCGACAGAUCCGGCUCCUCCACCGCUCUCCUCUUCUCUCUCCCUAUUUUCUAGAUUACAACUAGAAAUAACUAGAACUAGAACUAGAACUAGAGGAACUAGAACUAGAACUAGAUGAACUAGAACUAGAUCUAGAUGAACUAGAGGUAGAACUAGAAGAACUAGAGGGAUCCUCUCUACUUGGAUGAAGAAUUGAAACCCUAGCUUUGAUUCUGUAGAAGAGGUAUGAUCUCCAGGGGCCAGGGGGUCUUGUUUUAUAGUCCCUUCAAGCGAAUAUGGGCCGUUGGAUCAAACCGACAUUGAUUGAACGGUUAUCCUUGAUCCUUUAGGUCGGUGGAGCAAUAUCCUGAAAGAGAGUCCUGAUUGGACUCUGGUUGAGGGCGGGCGCCCAGGAAAGGAGGGCGGGCGCCCUGUCCCUGAGUCCUCUCGACCUCCGCUUCCUUCCCGUGGCUUCUGGAGUCUUCUAGAUGAUACAAAAUUGCGCGGCACGUUAAUAUCUCUAUGUAAACCUGACGUGUGAGCCUUUCUUCUGUAUUUCUUGAUAACCUCCUGCAGAAAUAGACAAACACCAAAACUCGUGGAAUUCUAUCAGAUAAAACCCUAAGUCUAGGUGUUGGUUGCAUAUAAGUCCUUUUCCAUGAUUAGCUAAUAGUUAAAUGUGAACAUUAAGGACCGUGAACACCAAGGCGGGCAUUGUUACAAAACCGCCACGGUGAAAGCCCUAGUUUGGUUUUGGAUAAUUGAUGAAACCCUAGUAAUAACCUCUAUGCUAAGUGUGUGUAGACUUAAUGAGGUUGGUACAUGCCAAGUGAUGGAGCAAGAGAUGAUCAUGGUGAUAAUGAUGGUGACGACCACAAGAUGAUCAAGUGCUCAACUUGGAAAAGAAGAAAGAGAAAAACAAAACCCUAUGGAGAUCAAGACAACGGUAUUGUUUAGGGUCUUAGUUUUGGUGAUCAAGACACCAUAGAGGGUGUGAUCACAUUUAGGAUAGAUAGCCAUACUAUAAAGAGGGGAAUUCUUUGGCUAAGCGGUUAUCAAGUGUCACUUGGUGUCAUUGUUCAUGUGCAUGCAUUUAGAACAUAGUGAGCUAACUUAACUCCUUGAAGAAAAUGUGUUGUGAAAAUGCUAACACACUUGCACAUGUUGGUACACACAUGGUGGUGUUGGCACACUUUAAGAAGGAGGUGGAGUUUGAAUGGUAGAGAGGGGUUUGGGUUCCUCUCUCCAUCCCGCCUAGCUUGCGAGGCCGGAUUCAGCGCUUUUGUGAAAAUGAAAUGCAUAUUUUCUAUUGCAACGGAGAAAAGUUUGGAGAAGUAGUCGGAGUUCCGGACACUCUGACCGCAGGCACCAGAUGGUGAGCCGGUGUGUCCGGUGUGCUGUCAGUGUCUGGUGAAGUUAGCUGUGUGCACCGGACGCCAAGCACCGGAUGCGGAUUAGACCCUAUUCUUGCAUCCGGUGUGGCUUGGCAUCAGCAGUGAGUUUGCAGUGCUCUCUGAGUAAGGGUCUGGUGCUGACCUGGUGCGUCCGGUGGUUGCGUCCGGUGACCCCACGCGUUUGACAAACCUCUCUGUGUACAGGUCCGGUGUGAGUCCGGUGCUGACCUGGCACGUCCAGUGGUUGCAUCCGGUGACCCCACGCAUUUGACAAACCUCUCUAUGUAUGGGUCCGGUGUGUACCGAAUGCGUACGGUGCUCACUUGACCGCGUCCGGUGGUUUAAUUUUGACCAUUAGAGAUCGACGUGCGUGAUUCAAGUAGCUAACACGUGGCCGCAUUGGAGCAUCAGACGCAGGGUUUGUGCGUCCGGUGGUCAGCUGUUGUGCAUCCGGUGAUCCCAAGUUUUGCACAGUGAAAGAGCCAACGGCUCUAUUUGUUUGAGGGGCUCAUAAAUACGUGUUGGCCGGCUUGGGGCUCACUCUCUUGGCAUUCUUGACUAUUAGACAUCCUUGUGAGCCCAAGCAAACACCUUCCACUCAUCUCCUUCAUAGAUUAAACAUAUUUGUGAUACUAGGAGUGAUUCUAAGUGCAUUUGCUUGAGUGAUUGCAUCUAGUGGCACUUGAUGAUCGAUUUGGCUGUGGUUUUCUUGUUACUCUUGGUGGUUGCCGCUACCUAGAUGACUUGGAGCAGCGGAGGAGCAUUGGCAUGAGUUGGUGAUUGUUUGUGGCCAUCUCCUGGUGAUUGUGAGGGGUUUGUGCCUACCCCAGCGGAGAGCCAAAGGCAACCCUAGUGGAUUGCGUGUAUCAUUGAGCUACCUCACUUGUGGGUAGGUUCUUGUGGUGUUCUAGUGAGGAUGAGGUUUGUGCUACACCUCUUAGCCGCUGAACCACCAAGUGUUGGUCGCCACAAUGGGGACGUAGCGUGCCGACAAACAUGUGAACCUCAGGAGAAAAAUCUGUGUCUCAAUUGUGUUUGAUUGGCAUUCUCCCAGUGAUUGAUUGUUCAUAUAUUGUGAUUGGUUCAUCCCCUCUACGCGGCGGUAUAAGGAUCAAACCCUCUCUUUUACAUUCCCACAAACUAGAGUAGCUUACUUACUUGCCUAGUGAUCAUAGCAACUAGAAUUGUUGGUUAGGUGGCUUGCAAACACCCCUUUAGAGCUAGAGCAAAAAGGUUCACUUUGUUAUCUACUAACCUCUUGCUCUAGUGUAUUUGUAGAAUUUUUAAAUAGGAUAUUCACCCCCCUCUAGCCAUAUUAGGACCUUUCACACGGUUAAUGAGAUAUUAACAGCGGCGAGUGAUAUGAGGGACCGCCACGAUUAAUAUCUAUUAACCAUGGCGGUUGUAUUACAAUGACCGCCACGGUUAAUACACCAUCAACUAUGGCAGUUGGCUUACAAUGCCUGCCAUGAUUAAUGAUUAACCGUGGCGGUUGUCUUGUGGCCUGGCUGGCUUGAGCCGGCAGUGAACAACCGUGGCGGGCGAAACCAACGCCCACCUUAGAGCCCUUAUGUGAAACGCUGUGUAAAAUAAAAUUUGUAGUAGUGCUACCCUUUGCUUGUCCUCAAGCAAAAUGUGGGUUUAGAAUAAAAGAGUUGGAUUAGACAUUGCUUCAAUAAAGUAACUUUGCAAAGUCUACUAACACAGCACCAUGCUUCUUAUAGCUAAAAGUGUGGUUUUGAAGUUUUACCACAAAUCUAGUAUUAUGGGGCUUUUUAGAUUUUCACUUUGAUUAUUGUUGGGUAUUUUAAACGCAAACAGAAAAAUCUGCAAGUGCACGGAUACCGAUGUAGCUUUCACCCGAGAGUAUUCCAGAGUAUCGAUUUUCCACAGGGAACAUGAGUGUACUAAUUAAGAUUCAAGAUCGCCCAAGGAUAACUAUAUAAUUAUUUUUGGUGGGAAUAGAGGAAGUUUCCUGAGAGUUCUCUAGUUGAUCUAAGAAUCAAGAAUUACUUCAAAGAUUAUUUAUUUCGGGACACUAACCACACAAAGAGAUGAGAAGGGAGCUAGGAAGCUCUGACUACGGUCCUACAAACACCGAUCCGACCGAGGUAGAAUACAUCGACUAUUAGGGCUGUCACUACCCUAGGGCUACCACAACAAUCCGCAGGAUUGGGUGUAAUUCUAGGUAAUUGCGAGACUAAACACCACGUCUAAUCUAUUAAUUACUACUCUAGCAUUUCAAAGACUAGAGCACUUGAUGCAAGUGGGAAUCCAAUAAAUAACUUGAAUGUAAAUAAAAGUAAUUAAAGAACUCAGGAAUUAUGAAUUGAAGAACUUGGAGAACGAUGAAGAACGAACCAGUUGCUGUAAAAGUACAAUGUUGAGGAAGAUCUGACAGAUUCGGCUCCUCCUCCGCUCUCCUCUUCCCUCUCCCUAUUUUCUAGAUUAGAACUAGAACUAGAUGAACUAGAACUAGAACUAGAACUAGAUGAACUAGAGGGAUCCUCUCUACUUGGAUGAAUAAUAGAAACCUUAGCUUUGAUUGUGUAGAAAAGGUAUGCCUCCAGGGGCCAAGGGGCCUGCUUAUAUAGCCCCUCCAAAUGAAUAUGGGCCGUCGGAUCAAACUGACCUUAAUCGCACGGUUAUUCUUGAAGAUUACAGGCGGUGGAGCACGAUCCGUGAGACCUAUCCUGAUUGGUCACCAGGGCAGAGCGGGCACCCAAGGGGGGAGGGCGGGCGCCCAGCCCCCAGGCCCGCUCGGCCUCCUGUUCGUUCCCGUAGCUUCUGGAGUCUUCUAGAUGAUAGAAAAUUGGCGCACACGUUAAUAUAUCUAUGUAAACCCGACGUGUGGGCCUUUCCUCCAUGUUUCCUGAUAACCCCCUGCAAAAAUAGACAAACACCAAAACUCGUGGAAUUCUGUCAAAUGAAACCCUAAUUUUGGAUGUUGGUUGCAUAUAGGUCCUUUUCCAUGAUUAGUUGACGGUUAAAUGUGAGCAUUAAGGACCGUCAACAAGCUUCCCCAAGCUUACCUCUUACUCGUCCCUGAGCAAGGAUGGACUCAAGAGUUUCUGUAGUGGUUUCAUGCCUUAAAGGUACACAUGCAUUCAAACAAGAUCUCAUCUCUGGGUUAGGGUAAACUAUUAAGAUUUAAACUUACUCAUUUUACCUUCCACCAUGGGGCUUGCAACCGUCACUUGUGUCUUGAGCCGUUAAAAGAUAGAACGGUCUAGUCAAGCGCCAUGUCUCUUGUUCUUCGAUUAACUAUAGCUCUGGAGUUUUUGCAGAUUUUUAAAUAAAACUCUGAGAUUCCUUACAUGACUCUCUCUAGUCUCUCUUUUAUGGUAUUUCUGGAUCCUUACCAAGGCAGUAAUGGUGUAUGCCUUCUCUCAAAGUAUGUGGUAUUUUUGGUAUGAGGCAUAGUGGCAUUGCCUUCUCUCUCACCCUAGUCUAUUAAGGUUUUGAUAUCUGGAGCUCAUAGGUGGGAGACAACUAAUACAUACUUACAAGACAUUUAUUGCAUAGUCAAACCAUGGAUCCAGAAGAACAAGUCAAUAAGUCAAAUCAAGAUGUGCAUGUGUGACGAAUGAAUAGUGAUAAUGGUGAAAAUAAUGGUGAAAGUCUAAUUCUACUUUUGCUCUUUUGAGGGGGUACAUACCUUCCUUGCACUUGAGGCUUUUGAGGGGAAUGAGAUGCUCUAUAUUUUAUUUUUCUUUUCUCUCAGGUGGGUACCCUAAUUCUACUGUCGGACACUUGUCCAUUUUUACCUCUCAUCUCACUUUUUCUUUUUUCGAGGUUUCGGGCACUUGCCCCUUUUUAUUUCCUCGUAUUCACUUUUUUUCAGAGCACUCACCCUCCUGGAAUAAUGUAGCAAGUGGUAGUAAACAAAAUAUCUUGAGCAUUUAUUUCACAGGGAAUAACAGGGAUAGGAUAAUGUUUUUGGCUAUUCUCUCCUAGAUAGGAGUAGAAUAAUUUUGGGUGAAUCUGGAUAUAGAAAUGAGUGGAUGUAUGUGGAUGCGUACUUCCGGAGUAGAAGCAGCAUGCAUGAGUGAACGUGCAAGUGAAUCUUGAUUUUAACCGCAUGACAAGCUCCUAAGGGUCGACACAGCUUGACCACACUCAACGCUCAUAAGCAGUAAAAAGUAAAUGUAUGGUUCAUAGUCUAAUAAGCAUGUAUAUACGGCUGUGGUAGGAUUUUAAACUCUCAUCAUACAAGAACUCAUCAUGCAACAUUUUAAAGAUUUUCAAAGAUAAAAUUCUCCAGAAUUCUAGCAUCUCUAGGAACAGAUAAACAACAGCUCAACCUUCCCAUAUCGUAUCCGUUAACGACUUAGACUUUAGAUCAAAUACUCUUCCCACAAGUUCAGGUUUAGAGCAAAUCUUAAUUAAUAACAGUCAUGCCUAAACUUGAGAGAUUUCAAUUUUGAGAACUAGUCAUGGCAGAGCAAUUAUUCGUCAUUUCCAUGUGAGAGCUUAUCAUAAGGGUUCAUAGCAAACUUUAUUUAUUUAUUUAUUUAGCAAACUAAGCAAAGAUAUAUAUAUAUAAGCACAAAAUAUUUAUUUGGGUUUUUAUGAUUAUGCAUCUUUUUAUUAUUUGAGUAAAGUAUAAACGUGAGUAGAACACUUAGCUGGAUAAAUGGGGGUGCUCUCCCCCAAGUUGGAUUUUGACAUAAUUUCUUCUGAUGCAGCUAGCAAGUGGUGGAGGUGUAUUUGAAUGUCGGCAGCACCCUGACAGCGAUUAGGAUGUCCUCCGUCUGGUAGUCUUCUUUGAUCCUUGAAUUCUGUGGAGCUCAAAUAGACAACAAAGCUUUGUGGAACUGGUUAAGUGUUAGCAUAAAAUCUCUUAGCCGUUAUCAUGUUGAACUUCCUCUAAUAAAUAUUACUCUCUUUAGUAGGAUCAUAAAUUUAUUUUUAUAUUUUCAUUUUUAUAUGACAGGAAUAUAUUUAUUUUAUUUUUACGCCACCACAGUGAAUGUACUUAUGGGUUUUAUGCCAUGAGCAUACUCACAUGAGGCUUACUUUUUUUUAACAGUUUUAUUUUCUUUUCAAGAUAGCAUGAUUAACUAACAAGCCAUUUAAUGAAAGUAAAUAAUUUAAGGGAAAAGGGAAUGCAGAAAGGAUAAAUAUGGAUAACUACCAAUUUUACCUUUCAGCGAGGGUUCAAUGUUUUAAGUCUUCUGAACAAGACUUCUCACCGUGUUCAUUCUUUAGGUGCGUCAUUUGAUUCAGACGUGGACCUUGACGUCUGCACCUCUUGAUACGGUGUCACCCAUGUUCUUUGUUUGCCCAGUAGUUUGAAGUGCGGCGUUGGCAGCAUCCUGCUUAGUUUGUUUGUGCUCGUAGAUCCAGGUCCUUCACUUGGUGGAGUCUAGGAGUUGUAAAACUCCUCCAUGUUUUGCUCGAAGUGUACCUGCUCAUAGAGACAAGGCAGAGAUCAAGUGCAUGGGCCCUGUUGGUGGAAAACACCAACAGAACCAAAAGUGUAUUUGUUCUUCUCUAACCUUAAGCAUAGUGAGCCAGACGAAGUUGAUGGAUAAUAAAAUCAUGAGUGUAGCAUUUAAAACAUUUGUCAGAUCAGAUCGCUCAACCUAAUGGAAAGAUAAUCUAUCUAUACUUAUGUUUAUAUAUAUAUAUAUGUAUAUAUAUAUCUUCCAAAGAUUGCGUGUGCAACAUUUUAGCUCAUAUGAUUAGGAGUGUGGGAUCACAACGGUGGAAGGUCUAAACAUAUUGAAUCGAUUGGGUUGGUUAAUCUAGAGUUGUAAAUCAUACUUGUUUGUCAAUUUUAUUCAUGUGAACGCAAGAACCAAGGAGAAGCUUAUAAAAGUGAUAGUCAAGUACCUUAAGAUGUUACCUUACUUGAAGACUGAUGGUACAGUAUCACCUUGUGGAAGCUUUCCUUUCUUAGCGGUUGUGCAACGUGUUUGUGGCACCCUCCAU
Molecule: long non-coding RNA, 14111 nt
Filed under: Sorghum bicolor (sorghum)
Lineage: Eukaryota; Viridiplantae; Streptophyta; Magnoliopsida; Poales; Poaceae
Description: long non-coding RNA (SBIC_LNC016354)
Source: RNAcentral